Molecule: long non-coding RNA, 5078 nt
Filed under: Gadus morhua (Atlantic cod)
Lineage: Eukaryota; Metazoa; Chordata; Actinopteri; Gadiformes; Gadidae
Description: lncRNA (ENSGMOG00000024761.1)
Source: RNAcentral
AAUGGGUGUUCUCAUUUCAUUGCAUUUUCAAAGAAUUUGAGUUUUAAAAUUCAAGUGUGCAUAGGAAACCUCAGAUAACUUCCUAUUGGCAUCACCCCUUCACAUUUCAUUUUGUGAGUACUUUCUCAGUAAUGACUGAAAGCUGUCUCAUGCUAAAUAUGUCUCACAUGUGUCUCUCAUUACAGUACGCCUGGGGCCUCAUGUACUAAGACUUGCGUGGAUUUCAUACUGAAACUUGGCGUACGCCAAAACCCAGAAACUGUCUUACGCACAAAUAAAUUCAGAUGUAUCAAAGUGUGCGAACGCAUGGAUCCAAGCACGUUUCUUUUGUACAUCUCGAUCAACGUGGAAUUGAGCGCACAUGCCGAGGUGCCAAAGUCCUCCCUGUCCACGCCCUCAUUUAAAUAUGCAAUUUCAUUUAAAUAGGCCUCUGGACCUGAGAUUCACCUCUUAAUCCGAUCACCUGGCACCAUGAACAGAGGCAAAAAACGAAACUUCACGGAGUCUGAGCUCGAGAUUUUGCUCCACGAGGUAGAAAUGCGCAAGCAUAUGCUAUUGGAACCCUGUCAACAGGGAUAAAUGCAAAACAAAAGAGAAGUGAGUGGGAGUGUGUUUGCGAGGCCGUCAAUGCAGUGGGGUCUCAGCAGCGCACACACUCUGAAAUUAAAAAAAAGUGGUCAGACCUCAAGGUGGAGGUGAAGCGGAGGGUUUCUGCCCACCGCCGAAGCGUGACCGCAACAGGUGGGGGGACGGGAGUGGGGGAACUCUCCCCCUUCGAUUUGAGAGUGGCCGCUUUGAUCGGUGACACGGCUCUCACCGGAGUGGUGGGAGCCCAUGAAGGGGACACCGAUCAUCCCCAAGACAAGCAAGGAGAGGGCACGGAUUGCUCCGUCGGCCCCGGCGUCUCCUCCGUCGACCCCGGCGUCUCCUCCGUCGGCCCCGGCGUCUCCAGCGCCCUUCGGAUUUGACCAUUUGCGAUGUCCUCUAACAACGCUAACGCAGCCAUUUUUAAAACAAUUUUCUUCAUCCAUUGCGCAUGCUUUUAUAGCCGACCAUAUAAUUGCAAGGUGUGUUAAUUGUUCAUUAGUGUGUCUCUGAUGUGCAAAUCACUCUGAGUCAUUGUUUUCACCUUUUUUCCCAGUUUCCCAGCGUCACCUCUAAGUGUCGCCAAAGGAACAAUAGCUGUAGAAACGUGCGUACGACAGCUCUGGAGCUGGCGUGGGGACCGCACAUUUUUACGGUCAUUUCACGUUUUGUACAUCUGAACGUGAGCGUGGAAAAGGACGUACGCCACGUUUUUGUACGUACGCAACUUUAGUACAUGAGGCCCCUGGUAUUUUGCCACAGAGGCUACUUUUGACUUCAGUAUUGUAAGUAUUAAGUCAAGUCCAUUUUUAAUAUCAGAUUAAAUAAUAAACAAUAAAUAGCAAACAUAGGAAGAAAAAAUAACAUCGUAGAAUUGAUAGUCAAGGUGUCGAGCUCAGCUUAAAAUACAUGCCAAAGAGAAGAGGUGGGUCUUAAGUAUGUAGCAGUUACUGAGAGUACUGCCUAAGGGCCAAUGUGAAGGCUGCGGAUGGUGAGUUACUUCCCAAACUAUAAUAAACAUAUACAAAUUGAAUGAAAUCUUGCUUACUUAAAAAUAGCGAGUAUUCAGAGUGUAUGCACUAAGCAGGGUUAUCACAACACUAGCUGUUUUUAUUAUGAAACACAGAAUCCGUAAAUAUACUAUAAGGAAAUUAAUGCAUUUUGACUAACAUCUUUCUUUAAUAAUAAUAAUGAUACAUUUAAUUUAAAGGGUGCCUUUCAAGACACCCAAGGUCACCUUACAGAGCAUAAAGUUAUCAUAAAUCGUUUAAAAACAAGACAUUGUGGAAAAAUAAUCAACCAUCGAGACAGUGAUCAGUUAGACGUUGUGUGCGAGUUUGAACAGGUGAGUUUUGAGUUGUGACUUGAAGGUUGUAGGCUAAUGGUGUCCGACUGUUUUAUGUGUGGGGGGAGGGAGUUCCAGAGCCUGGGUGCUGAACAGCUGAAUGACUGGGCACCCAUUGUAAUGAGUCGUGAUGUGGGGAUACAUAGUAGUCCAGCAGAGGUUGAGCGGAGGGAGCGGGAGGGAGUGUAUUCUUGGAGGAUGUGCAGAGGUAACUGAGGGCUAGGUUGUGGAGAGCUUUGUACACAGCAAAUUGAGGAGAGUUAAAAUGUUGGUGUUGAGGAAGUUUGAGUUAGAGCAUAGUUAAAUAUACUCUGGAAAGAGUCAAAUCCCGUAUAUUUAACUCUAAUUUUUCGAAGAGUUGGUGUUAAAACAGGGUGUCAAAACGAAUUAUCUUCAAAUCAAAUCUGUAAGUGUCAUUGUAGUAAAAUUAACUCUGAAUAAUUGAACACUUAACUCCAAACCUGGAAGUGACACUUGAGGGGAAAAACGGUCUGUCUAGUUACUGGACCAGAUGAAAUGAGACGGAGAGGUUAUAAAGUCUGUCGGCACGAGGACCUUGGAUUUAUUAAGUAAAGUGGCAACGGUUAUACAGAGUCAUAAAGCGUGAGAGAUCGAAUAUGUCUAAGUCCCUAAUCAGCGCUGAUGGUUCGUCCAGAGCUUCGCCUCCGUGGAAGGUCUGCUUCAGAAGAAGAUGAAGAGUCCCUGUGUGAUACAGUCUUAUGCUGUAUCCUCCUCUCGAUGAGGUGUGUGCGUUUGAGGUGUGUGUGGUUCUGUGUGUUUUUGCUUGACCUUGGCUCUCCGGCCCUGGUAUAUGCAUGUGUAUCUCUUGUGUUCCUCCUAACGGGGGAGAGCUCCUCGAAGUGUCUCCUGUGUGAUAAAUUAAUGUGGCUCUCCCGUUCUUGAGGAUGACUGGUGCAUUGUCUGAGUGUCCACCAUUUGCCUGGUUGGGAAAUGGGGCCUUCGGCUCCGGCCUUGACCUGACUAUAUUAUCAUGUUUGUGUUAUGUGUUCGUUGGGUUAGAGCAAGAGUUGACUAUAUUGUAAUGUGCCUGCCAUGUGAUGUGCUCAUCAGGCUAGGGUAGGAGUUAGCUAUAUUUGUAAUGUACAUGUGAUGUACUCAGCAGGUUAUUUUGCCCAACACACUUCAGGUGUAAAUUUCUGGUAAAUUGACCCUCCCCCACCAUAGCACACACUGCACAGUCUCGUCUCAAUGGUGCAAGGAGUCUAUUUGAAACCUGCAUCCUCUUGUGAUUCGGUAAGUAAGUCAACUUUUGUAUUUCUUUUAACAUUAGUUUCUCAUAUUAAGGCUAUAUUUCGCCUCCGGCCCCCUGUGUAUUUUAAACCGGGAUAAUUUUUUAGGCCUAUUUCAUUUGGUGGUCAAACUGAUAAAAUGGCCACGCAUAUUUUGCUAUCUUUAGGCCUACUUGUUUUCAAGGUGUAUGACUUGGCUUCGGUAUUACAAGUUCAGUAUAUAAUAUGCAUCCUCAUAUAAAGGGGAUCAAUAUUGCGUCAUGAUGUAGGACAGCUGGAGUGUGGCUAAUGUAUAAAUUGGACAUGCUAAUGUCUGCUAGCUUGAUGCUAAUUGUUAGCUACUUUUCAAUGUGUUAGGGUGCACUCACACUAGGCCAUCUUGCCGUGGCCGUUUUCACACCUAACCAUGCUCAAAUCUGCCAGUGUGAGUGUGGCCUUAAUAUCAAUGACGGCUGUUGGUGCUUUUAGGUGGGUGGGCUAACAUUUAUCAAUACUUCACAGGGCCAGACGCCAUGAGGUCACCUUUAUAUCUCUGUUCAUAACUUUCAUAUAAUGUGAAUGAUUUUUAAACAAGAAUAAGUUGUAGAGAAAUGUGUGUCUUUAUUUCAAGCACAAUUAUAAAGAAAAAUAAGGUGUUUAAAGUGCUUCACUGAGCUGAAAUUGAACAUUUCGAACUAAACCAUUGAGCAAAAUAAAAAAAUUUUUCGUGCUUAAAGUAUUAAACAAUUAAAAUGUUGACCGGUCUCCCUUUGCGCCAAAAUGCGGCUGUAGACGAUCACACACUCUUUGGUCGAGACGUCUGUCUCGCCGUGAAUCGUGAAGGACAUGUAUGUGGCGUUUCCGACGUCCGCAGCUGUCUUUAGCUUUAAGGUGUCGCCUAUUACCGCAAUGAAUUGUGCACAUGCCAUCUCAUUGCUAUACGUUGGGUUGACGUUUAAUCCAUUUUUCUUCAUGAGAAUAAUUUCGGAUUUAAAUUUGGUGAAGGGCAACUCCUCUUUGGCAGUGUUGUAUGCAACAUUAUAUUUGAUCAUUUCUGAUUCCUUAGAGCAGUGGUUCUCAAACUUUUUACUAUGAGUACCACCUUAGAAAUGAUUUGGCUCUCCAAGUACCACCGGAAUUAAAAUAAAGUGCGUAGGCCUAUAACUACAUAGAGUUUACACAGAAGGCAUUAAUAUUAAUAACACGAUUUAUUAUUCACAUAACUUGACUUGACUGAAGCAACCGACUGUCUAUAACUCAUGUAUUGUAUUUAAACACUUGCAACGGGAUAAUACUAACAAUUGAACAACUGCCUCAAUAGGGGUACCCAGCAAAUGGGGAUAUCAUCUGGCAUAUAACAUACCAGUCAAUCUAGUGAGGUUAUUAACAAGUAUACUGUAUUAAAGCAUUCAGAGCACUGAAUAUUAAUUUUUAACAACUGCAGUCAACCAAUCAUGUGAGGUAAAUUGUACUGCAUCAAAACAUUCAAAGAAUUGAACAUGAAUAUUUAAAUACUGGAGUCAAACAAUCCUGUUAUAAGUAAUCAUGCGCAGCAAAGAGAGAAAUCAUGUGUACUGCGAUAACACUGUAAUCAAACUAUCAUGAGUAAGAACAAGUGUAUCAUAGAAAAACAACGUAUUCAGUAUUAAAAAAUACUGCAGUAAGUGCCAUAAGGUCAGAAUAUCAACUAUGUUUAGGUUUGAAGGAGAAUGUACUCAGGCACACAUUGAAAAUUAGGCCUAUCAUGCUUAGUGGGAGGGGUGUGAUGUCUGGGUCGAUUGAGGUUAGCUUUAGCCUCAGACUUGGUUCAGUAUCCAACCUGCUUCCAGCACACAAGUUGAGGGGGGAUGGCAUCCCCCUUUGGAAUUAAAAUUAUCAAAAUCAUCCCCCUUCUGAAACAGCCAUCCCCCCUUCCCAUC